Small nucleolar RNA from Impatiens glandulifera, 145 nucleotides. RefSeq annotates it as small nucleolar RNA snoR134. The record is from RefSeq and is a predicted model, not a curated record. The transcript has a single exon. Lineage: Eukaryota; Viridiplantae; Streptophyta; Magnoliopsida; Ericales; Balsaminaceae.
CUGCACGAUCUCUCCCGGGCUUCUCUGAAAGAUUUUGAAUUGACGAUGUAAGCCCCAAUGAUUGUGCUUUAUCGAUUGUCGUUAAGUGUUGCAGUUUAGCAUUUUAUUUCAUGGCUAAUUUUGUGUCAAAUCGACGGCUACAUUU